RNAcentral lists this ribosomal RNA (478 nucleotides) under uncultured bacterium. Its description in RNAcentral is "bacterial SSU rRNA". It matches the Rfam family "Bacterial small subunit ribosomal RNA", at positions 61 to 567 of the family's 1533-position model. The record is from RNAcentral.
GUCGAGCGGUAACAGGGGUAAUUUAUUACCUGCUGACGAGCGGCGGACGGCUGAGUAACGCGUGGGAACAUGCCCCAAAGUGAGGAAUAACUGCCCGAAAGGGUGGCUAAUGCCGCAUAUGAUCUUCGGAUUAAAGGAUUUAUCCGCUUUGGGAGUGGCCCGCGUACGAUUAGGUAGUUGGUGAGGUAAAGGCUCACCAAGCCCACGAUCGUUAACUGGUCUGAGAGGAUGAUCAGUCAGACUGGAACUGAGACACGGUCCAGACUCCUACGGGAGGCAGCAGUGAGGAAUCUUCCACAAUGGGCGAAAGCCUGAUGGAGCGACGCCGCGUGCAGGAUGAAGGCCUUCGGGUUGUAAACUGCUUUUAUAAGUGAGGAAUAUGACGGUAACUUAUGAAUAAGCACCGGCUAACUACGUGCCAGCAGCCGCGGUCAUACGUAGGGUGCAAGCAUUAUCCGGAGUGACUGGGCGUAAAGAG